GUUUGCACUCAUCGGGGAAGGGUGAGAACCUUCGACUAAGGUUCGACUCGAGCGCCAGCGAGAGAGCGUUGCCGCAGGCAACGACCUGAAGGGCGAAGCGCGCAGCGCUGAGUAAUCCUUCCCCCACCACCA
RNAcentral lists this small RNA (132 nucleotides) under Escherichia coli. RNAcentral describes it as "RtT sRNA". It matches the Rfam family "RtT RNA". Rfam says of the family: This family represents a bacterial cis-regulatory element known as RtT RNA. Lineage: Bacteria; Pseudomonadati; Pseudomonadota; Gammaproteobacteria; Enterobacterales; Enterobacteriaceae. The record is from RNAcentral.